Molecule: ribosomal RNA, 438 nt
Filed under: Rothia kristinae
Lineage: Bacteria; Bacillati; Actinomycetota; Actinomycetes; Micrococcales; Micrococcaceae
Description: bacterial SSU rRNA
Rfam family: Bacterial small subunit ribosomal RNA
Source: RNAcentral
UGGCGUGCUUAACACAUGCAAGUCGAACGCUGAAGCCUGGUGCUUGCACCGGGUGGAUGAGUGGCGAACGGGUGAGUAAUACGUGAGUGACCUGCCUUUGACUCUGGGAUAAGCCUGGGAAACUGGGUCUAAUACCGGAUGCGACUACUGCCCGCAUGGGCUGGUGGUGGAAAGGGUUAUGUACUGGUCUUAGAUGGGCUCACGGCCUAUCAGCUGGUUGGUGGGGUAAUGGCCUACCAAGGCGACGACGGGUAGCCGGCCUGAGAGGGUGACCGGCCACACUGGGACUGAGACACGGCCCAGACUCCUACGGGAGGCAGCAGUGGGGAAUAUUGCACAAUGGGCGCAAGCCUGAUGCAGCGACGCCGCGUGAGGGAUGACGGCCUUCGGGUUGUAAACCUCUUCAGCAGGAAGAAGCGGAAGGGACCGUCUUCCCGG